GGUGCCGAGCCGCUCUCCCUUUCUUAUCACAGCAGGCGGAGUCAGAGCCGGAUCCCCCGGACCUGUGGGGGCGUCAAAACUUGGACCAAAAUUGUGCCUUAUGGUUCAGUUUCUAUAAUAUGCCCAAACAAAACAUCAGAGCCCAGUAUUAUCCCAAGUCUGGUCCGCGGUGCUGAGCCUCAUGGACCAGCCUCUAGAUGUCAUGAGGCAAAGAAGAUAACAGGCACCCACAACAGGUACUCCACCAUUGAAAUCAUGGAAUUAUAAACAGAGUAAAUUAAGUACAGGCAGUAGCUCAACAAGUGAAAGGGAGAAGAGAAAUUAUCCUGACUGGUGAACAGACAAUAUGGAGCAGCUGUGGAAAAUCAUUGCUACACAAGUAUUCCCACCAGACUAAUCCUUCUGCCAGAUUGUACACAGUACACCAUCGGGCUGAUGUUUGUUUUCAGAUGCAGGACCUACUCCUGCUGAGAUCAACGGCAGAAGCCCCUCUGAUGCCAGUGGAGCAGUGUUAUGAAUAAAUAUGAAUGGGUUGGUCAAACACUCCACUUCUGACUCAACUGAAAAACGAUAUGAGGGCAGAGCCUUCAGGUACCACAGAAUUUAGAUUCUGAAGCAUACAGAGAGGAGGACGGGCAGGUAUGAAUCUGUGAAAGAAACAUACUAAGAAAAUGCCAGUUACAUG
This is a long non-coding RNA of Caretta caretta (loggerhead turtle), 685 nucleotides long. RefSeq lists it as uncharacterized. NCBI's taxonomy places the organism in Eukaryota, Metazoa, Chordata, Testudines, Cheloniidae. The record is from RefSeq and is a predicted model, not a curated record.